GGACUACCAGGGUUUCUAAUCCUGUUUGCUCCCCUAGCUUUCGCGCCUCAGCGUCAGGUUUAGCACAGAAAACCGUCUUCACCACCGGUGUUCUUCCACAUAUCUACGCAUUUCACCGCUACAUGUGGAAUUCCGUUUUCCCUUACUAACCUCAUAGCAAAAAAGUUUCAAAUGCAGCUCCGGGGUUGAGCCCCGGAAUUUCACAUCUGACUUUUCUUGCCGCCUACGCGCCCUUUACACCCAGUAAUUCCGAUCAAUGCUUGCACCCUCCGUAUUACCGCGGCUGCUGGCAC
RNAcentral lists this ribosomal RNA (293 nucleotides) under uncultured bacterium. RNAcentral describes it as "partial 16S ribosomal RNA". The record is from RNAcentral.